Molecule: transfer RNA, 93 nt
Filed under: bacterium HR25
Lineage: Bacteria
Description: tRNA-Glu
Source: RNAcentral
GGGCUCUGGCGGGCCUGGUGGCCGUCUACCUCGUCUUCGGCGGGGUGGCGCUGUCCCGCUGGGCGGCCGGGGCCUCCGCCGCCCUGGAGCCCU